RNAcentral lists this long non-coding RNA (2403 nucleotides) under Nicotiana benthamiana. RNAcentral's name for it is "long non-coding RNA (NBEN_LNC041972)". The record is from RNAcentral. Lineage: Eukaryota; Viridiplantae; Streptophyta; Magnoliopsida; Solanales; Solanaceae.
GCAAUGUUUGAGCAAGUAAAUUUAACAUUCCAGAAAGGCAUUGCUGACCACUCGGCUGCUGCGCAACAGCAAUUCGAGUCCGUGCAUUCCCCGUUGGCACUUGCUCUAAGAGAUGCCAUAAAUUCAGCAUGGUCAAUGACUCAGACAUUGAGCGGAGAGCUGGCUGAUAGUCAGAGAAAGUUGCUUGCUCUCGCAGUUUCUGGAGCAAAUCCCCAGUCAGCAAAUCCGCUGGUUAGCCCUCUUGCUAAUCUUUGUUAGACUGUCGUUUCUCUGCCUCUAGUUUAUCUAUACUACAUCAAGUAUAUUAUGCCUUGGUUGGUUUCAACCAAGGGUAUAAUCCUUCCACUUCUUGUGUUGACUUAUUCUUUAUCCCUUAGGGGUCGUUUGGUAGAAGGUAUUAGAAAAAAUAAUGCAAGCAUUAGCUCUGUGCAUUACUAAUACCUUGUUUGGUACAUUUUUUCAAACUGUAUAUAACUAAUACAUGUAUUAGUUAUACAUCAUUCUUUGUAUUAUGCUAUGUAUAAGCAAUGCCUAGAAAACCAUAACAUUAGUAAUGCAAGUGUAUAAUACUUGCAUAAACAUGGUCAAAGACCUAAUUGCCCCCCUCAAACCCAUCUCAAAUACAUUCCCCCAUAUUAUUAGCAAACAACUUUCUCUCUCUCUGUACCGUUUUGGCCAUGGAAAAGCACAGCAGCCAAAUCUUCUUCUUCAUUUUCCUCUUCAGAGAUAAAAGUGUAAAAGGAUUUUCAAUGAUUUUGUUUUUCCCCCCUUUUGAACGACUCAUGGAGUGAAGGCACUAACUACUGGUUUCUUUGUUUGUUGGUGGUGUUUUUCUAUAUUCAAGAACUAAUAUUUGAGGUAUUUUGUAAAAUUAGUUCUUAGUUUUGGUAAUUUCAUUCCCGGUGCUUCCUUUUGUUCUUGGUGGAGGGUACUUUUGUAAACAUCCAAUUUUUAAAAAAUUAUGCAAUGCUUUAAUACACCAAACCAAACAGUGUAUAAAAAAUAAUCUCAGGUUAACUAGUGCUAGCAUAACUAAUGCCAGCAUUACUUAUACCAGCAUUACUAAUACACUCUAUUUAGCACUGUUCUUAUACCUCCUACCAAACGGCCCCUUACUGUGUUUUGAAUUCAGCAAGAUACUUUUCUUCGUUUGAUCUCUUUCAUACCAUCUUUCGGUUUAGUUUGAUAUGGUGGGUUCAGGGAUGCAUGUCUUUGGUUGUUUAAAUCCUGUUGUGCUCUACAAUGAUAUUCUCAGCCCAAGGUUUUCAUGUUUUUGCUCAAUUUUAUCUUUGAUUAACAACUUAUUGAAUGAUGAUUAACAAAUUAUGCAAUGCUUUAAUACACCAAACCAAACAGCGUAUAAAAAAUAAUCUCAGCAUAAUUAGUGCUAGCAUAACUUAUACCAGCAUUACUAAUACACUCUAUUGAAUGAUGACUCACUGCUUACUAACUAUACACUGAUCUCCAGAAAUGAUUGCCUUUCUUUCCACCACACAGUCCGAAAGUGGUUAAAGAAAGUUCCAAUACAAAUUAAUAUAUAACAUAAAAAAAAUAAGCCAUGCUCUCUUUUUACCAUCCUCAUUUCUCAAUACAAUAUUGGAAACAUCCUCUCUGCCCUUUCGGGUAGGGGUAAGGCUUGUCUACAUAUUACCCUCCCCNNNNNNNNNNNNNNNNNNNNNNNNNNNNNNNNNNNNNNNNNNNNNNNNNNNNNNNNNNNNNNNNNNNNNNNNNNNNNNNNNNNNNNNNNNNNNNNNNNNNNNNNNNNNNNNNNNCGUAGUUGUUGUUGUUGUAGGGGUAAGGCUUGUCUACAUAUUACCCUCCCCAGACCCCACCUGGUGGGAGUAUACUGCGUAGUUGUUGUUGUUGUAUUUCUCAAUAAAACAUUUUCACUAUCAUAUUCUCCAAAAAGGCAAAAACACAGGAUUUAAUAUGAUACACUGCAUGUUACUCUAUCCUCUUCUCAAUACAGCGUUUCCAAUAUUAUAUUCUCCAAAAGCACGUCAUUAAACUUAAUACACCACAUGUUCCGCUCCACAAACAAGACGAAUCACUUUUUUCAAUUGCCUUAAUAGACGUGCAGACUGCAGAGUUAAAUUAAAAUAGUUAAAAUGGAAAGUAGGAAGUGGUUCUAUCUUUGUUUAUGUUCUUCUUUCCUCUCAACCUGCUUUGUAACCUGGUGGAUGUGUUGAUAUAAAAGAUAAAAAAUGAAAAAUAAUAAUGAAGUCCGGAAAAUAGUGAGCUCUUAUCCUCUUUCGAAUGAGACACUCAUUGGAUUCGAUUUUCAGGAUGCCAUUAAUUCAGCAUCGUCAAUGACUCAGACAUUGAGCGGAGAGCUGGCUGAUAGUCAGAGAAAGUUGCUUGCUCUCGCAGUUUCUGGAGCAAAUCCCCAGUCAGCAAAUCCGC